GGAUUGGCGAGUUUGAUCCUGGCUCAGGAUGAACGUUGGCGGCGUGCCUUACCAAUGCGAGUCGAACGGUACGGGGAGGCUCUUCGGAGCGCCCACGACCGUGGCGUCCGGGUGCGUAACACGUAGCUAACCUACCGGUCGGUGGGGGAAAACUCCGGGAAACCGGAGGUAAUCCCGCAUAUGGUCGCCUGGUAGACAGGUGGACGAAAGCUGUGGCAGGGGAACCUGCGAUGGCGCCGGCUGAGGGGGCUGCGGCCGAUUAGCUAGUUGGUGGGGUAAUGGCUCACCAAGGCAGUGAUCGGUAGCGGGUCUGAGAGGAUGAUCCGCCACACGGGGACUGAGAUAUGGUCCCGAGCCCUACGGGGUUUAGCAUGGAGGAAUCUUGCGCAAUGGGCGAAAGCCCGACGCAGCGACGCCGCGUGGGGGAUGAAGGCCUUCGGGUUGUAAACCCCUUUUCUGGGGGACGAAAUUGACGGUACCCCAGGAAGAAGCCACGGCUAACAGGGUGCCAGCAGCCGCGGUAAUACCUUGGUGGCAAACGUUAUCCGGAAUCACUGGGCGUAAAGCGCUCGUAGGCGGCUUGGUAGGUGUUCGGUGAAAGCCCCCGGCUCACCCGGGGAGGGUCCGAGCAAACCACCAGGCUAGAGGCAGGCAGAGGACCGUGGAACGUCCGGGGGAGUAGUGGAAUGCGUAGAUCCCGGACGGAACACCAGAGGCGAAGGCGGCGGUCUGGGCCUGUCCUGACGCUGAGGGGCGAAAGCGCGGGGAGCAAACAGGAUUAGAUACCCUGGUAGUCCGCGCCGUAAACGAUGGACGCUAGGUGUGUGGGGGGCUCAACCCCCCUGCGUGCCGGAGCUAACGCGGUAAGCGUCCCGCCUGGGGACUACGGUCGCAAGACUAAAACUCAAAGGAAUUGACGGGGGCCCGCACAAGCAGCGGAGCGUGUGGUUCAAUUCGAGGCUACGCGAAGAACCUUACCGGGGUUUGACAUUACACGGCGAUCCCGCGAAAUCGGGAGUUCCUUCGGGAUCGUGUAACAGGUGCUGCAUGGCUGUCGUCAGCUCGUGCCGUGAGGUGUUGGGUUAAGUCCCGCAACGAGCGCAACCCUCGACGCUAGUUGUAUAUGUCUAGCGUGACUGCCGCGGACAACGCGGAGGAAGGUGGGGAUGAUGUCAAGUCCGCAUGGCCCUUAUAUCCCGGGCUACACACACGCUACAAUGGCCAGUACAACGGGCAGCAACCUGGCGACAGGAAGCGAAUCCCUAAAAGCUGGUCUCAGUUCGGAUUGCAGGCUGCAACUCGCCUGCAUGAAGUCGGAGUUGCUAGUA
Molecule: ribosomal RNA, 1328 nt
Filed under: Chloroflexota bacterium
Lineage: Bacteria; Bacillati; Chloroflexota
Description: bacterial SSU rRNA
Rfam family: Bacterial small subunit ribosomal RNA
Source: RNAcentral